RNAcentral lists this long non-coding RNA (253 nucleotides) under Homo sapiens (human). RNAcentral describes it as "HSALNT0114494". The record is from RNAcentral. Lineage: Eukaryota; Metazoa; Chordata; Mammalia; Primates; Hominidae.
CUGUCCAUGAAAACUCAGAGCAAGAAAAGAGGAUAAAAGUGCUGAAAAAUGGCCAGGGACAUACUCACUAGAGGGGAUCAGGAAUGAGUUGUGUUCAGGCAAUAGUAGAAGAUCUCAGCAAGAACAAUUGUGACACAGGCUAUACUUAGUAUUGGGGUUCCAAGCUCAGCAGUGGGGGCAUAGCAGGACUGAGAGGAGAUCUUCCUUGUGAACACAGAGCUUAGUCAUAGGAAUGGGCUGUGCAGAAGGAUUC